CUAAAUUAUUUAAGGAACCCAGUUUUAAAUCAAACAAGUUCAUCAUUCACAACGCUCUCUCACGCUGCUGCCUUGCUGGCAAAGUCAAUGAAUCCCAGAAAAACAAGAUCAUAGAGGAGAUGGAGAAGAGCUCCGCCAGUCACUUCCUGAUUCUCCUGCGUGAUGCCAACUGUCAGUUCCGUGCCAUCUACACUCUAGACGGCCAGUCGGAGGAGCUGCAUCGACUCUGCGGCGUCGGCCCGCGUGCCAUUUCCUCGUCAGCCGUGGAAGCCAUUUAUAAAUACAGCUCCGACAGGAAACAGUUCAAUACGCUUCCAUCUCGUACCCUGAGCAUGAGUGUCGACGCUUUCACUAUCCCCGCCCAUCUCUGGCACACUAAGAAACAUGGCACGCCCAAAAAAGUAGCAACACCCAAAUAGACUCCACCUACUCAAAAUAAACAACUCCUGCAGAGAUAAGCUGCUCCCACUUAAAUAAGCCACACCUACUGGAAUAAACCCCUCCCAUUUACAAAACUAGCAACACCCAAAUAGACUCCACCUACUCAAAAUAAACAACUCCUGCAGAGAUAAGCUGCUCCCACUUAAAUAAGCCACACCUACUGGAAUAAACCCCUCCCAUUUACAAAAGUAGCCACACCCAAAUAGACUCCACCUACUCAAAAUAAACCACUCCUGCUGAGAUGAACUGCUCCCCCUUAAAUAAGCCACACCUACUGGAAUAAACCCCUCCCAUUUACAAAAGUAGCCACACCCAAGUAGACUCCACCUACUCAAAAUAAACCACUCCUGCUGAGAUAAGCUGCUCCUAUUGGAAUAAACCCAUUUACAAAAGUAGCCACAUCCAAAUAGACUCCGCCCACUCAAACUAAUAGGCGUGUUCGACUCGAAGCGGCGCUGCACAGACCGAUCAAAGUAUCGCGAGAGCGAUUCAAAAGCAUAAGAAGCUGUCUGCUCUCUUAUCACUCUUGCGGC
Sinocyclocheilus rhinocerous is the source of this 974-nucleotide long non-coding RNA. RefSeq lists it as uncharacterized. The transcript is spliced from 3 exons. NCBI's taxonomy places the organism in Eukaryota, Metazoa, Chordata, Actinopteri, Cypriniformes, Cyprinidae. The record is from RefSeq and is a predicted model, not a curated record.